CUAAGCCAUGCGAGUCAUUGUAGCAAUACAAGGCAGACGGCUCAGUAACGCGUAGUCAAUCUACCCUAUGGACGGGAAUAACCUCGGGAAACUGAGAAUAAUGCCCGAUAGAACAUUAUGCCUGGAAUGGUUUAUGUUUCAAAUGAUUUAUCGCCAUAGGAUGGGACUGCGGCCUAUCAGUUUGUUGGUGAGGUAAUGGCCCACCAAGACUAUUACAGGUACGGGCUCUGAGAGGAGUAGCCCGGAGAUGGGUACUGAGACACGGACCCAGGCCCUAUGGGGCGCAGCAGGCGAGAAAACUUUGCAAUGUGCGAAAGCACGACAAGGUUAAUCCGAGUGGUUUCUGCUAAAGAAACCUUUUGUCAGUCCUAGAAACACUGACGAAUAAGGGGUGGGCAAGUUCUGGUGUCAGCCGCCGCGGUAAAACCAGCACCUCAAGUGGUCAGGAUGAUUAUUGGGCCUAAAGCAUCCGUAGCUCGUUUUGUAAGUUUUCGGUUAAAUCCAUGCGCUUAACGUAUGGGCUGCCGGGAAUACUGCAUAACUAGGAAGUGGGAGAGGUAGACGGUACUCGGUAGGAAGGGGUAAAAUCCUUUGAUCUAUUGAUGACCACCUGUGGCGAAGGCGGUCUACCAGAACACGUUCGACGGUGAGGGAUGAAAGCUGGGGGAGCAAACCGGAUUAGAUACCCGGGUAGUCCCAGCUGUAAACUAUGCAAACUCAGUGAUGCAUUGGCUUGUGGCCAAUGCAGUGCUGCAGGGAAGCCGUUAAGUUUGCCGCCUGGGAAGUACGUACGCAAGUAUGAAACUUAAAGGAAUUGGCGGGGGAGCACCACAAGGGGUGAAGCCUGCGGUUCAAUUGGAGUCAACGCCAGAAAUCUUACCCGGAGAGACAGCAGAAUGAAGGUCAAGCUGAAGACUUUACCAGACAAGCUGAGAGGUGGUGCAUGGMCACGU
Molecule: ribosomal RNA, 953 nt
Filed under: uncultured archaeon
Lineage: Archaea
Description: bacterial SSU rRNA
Rfam family: Archaeal small subunit ribosomal RNA
Source: RNAcentral